Molecule: ribosomal RNA, 424 nt
Filed under: Boophis quasiboehmei
Lineage: Eukaryota; Metazoa; Chordata; Amphibia; Anura; Mantellidae
Description: partial 16S ribosomal RNA
Rfam family: Bacterial large subunit ribosomal RNA
Source: RNAcentral
GGAUCCUACUGUCUCCCCCCUCUAAUCAGUGAAACUGAUCUCCCCGUGAAGAAGCGGGGAUAUACAUAUAAGACGAGAAGACCCCAUGGAGCUUUAAACCUGACAGCACCCGCUCAUUCUAUACCCCAUUAUUUGCCCGACCCCUGUCUGCUCAGUUUUAGGUUGGGGUGACCACGGAGUAUAAAGUAACCUCCAUGAAGAAGGGGAUAUUUCCCUUAUUAGAGAACCACACUUCCAAGAACUAAUAAAUUAAUUUUCAAUGACCCGAUACCCGAUAAUCGAUCAACGAACCAAGUUACCCUGGGGAUAACAGCGCAAUCCACCCUGAAAGCCCUUAUUAACAGGUGGGUUUACGACCUCGAUGUUGGAUCAGGGUAUCCCAGUGGUGCAGCAGCUACUGAGGGUUCGUUUGUUCAACGAUUAA